UACGAAGGGGGCUAGCGUUGCUCGGAAUCACUGGGCGUAAAGGGCGCGUAGGCGGCCAUUCAAGUCGGGGGUGAAAGCCUGUGGCUCAACCACAGAAUUGCCUUCGAUACUGUUUGGCUUGAGUUUGGUAGAGGUUGGUGGAACUGCGAGUGUAGAGGUGAAAUUCGUAGAUAUUCGCAAGAACACCAGUGGCGAAGGCGGCCAACUGGACCAACACUGACGCUGAGGCG
Molecule: ribosomal RNA, 230 nt
Filed under: uncultured bacterium
Lineage: Bacteria
Description: partial 16S ribosomal RNA
Rfam family: Bacterial small subunit ribosomal RNA
Source: RNAcentral